Molecule: non-coding RNA, 74 nt
Organism: Potamilus streckersoni
Lineage: Eukaryota; Metazoa; Mollusca; Bivalvia; Unionida; Unionidae
Source: the annotation of a GenBank genome assembly
GCUCCGGUGACCUUGUGGUUAGAGUGUCCGCCUCAAAUGCGAGAGGUCCUGGGUUCGAUCCCCGGUUUGAGUCA